AUCGAACAAUCGUUGCCACUGUCGGCGACCAGCUGCGCGGCGCCGAGCGUGGUUAGGUCCCCGUAACCAAGAUAUCGUCCGCGAGAGUUGCUACCGUCCGAAAAGUAACACAGAGCAGGAUGAAUCUCGUUGCGAGGCAGUGUUUAAGGAUUUUAGGGAGCGACGUUGGGAGGCAGAAGACACCGCACAGUCUUCGAGCUUCCAGCUUUAAAAGCGCUCUAUGCCUGGAAAACUUGCAUCCGGGUAGCACGUUGAAGCUGCACACUCCAACUUUCGUGCCGGAUCCUAAAGCGAAAUUCAGUGGUUUCAUACCCCUGGACAAGGUGCAAAUAACAUACAGCGGUAGCAGCGGGCCGGGAGGGCAAAACGUGAACUGUGUAAAUACCAAGGUGGACUUGAGGUUCCAGGUGGCCAGUGCUACGUGGCUGUCGGAGGAGAUUCGAACCAAGUUAGCGGAACAACACAAAACCAAGAUAAACAAAGACGGUUACUUAAUAAUCAAGUCGGAUUUGACGAGAUCCCAGCACUUAAAUUUGGCGGACGCUCUGGAAAAGCUGAGAGCGAUGAUAAGAGCUACUUUGGUGUUGCCGCCGCAACCGUCGCCAGAGUCGGAAGAGAAGAGGCGGAAGAGUCUGCUGAGAGCCGCUAGGGAGAGGCUGCACGAGAAGCGAGCCCAUUCCCAACUUAAACAAAGCAGACGAGGCACUGUUGAGUUCUAAACUCAAUUUAGUUUAAUUGAUUAUUUAAGUCACCGGUCCAAGUACUGUAUAGUUUGCACGAGAGAAAAGGACUUGGAAUUAGAAUGAUCGUUGAAAGACAAAUCGAAAUUGACCAAUUCAUGUUGAAAAUGUAGGGAU
Vollenhovia emeryi is the source of this 857-nucleotide RNA transcript. It is a transcript of the gene named peptidyl-tRNA hydrolase ICT1, mitochondrial, with no coding region annotated. The transcript is spliced from 4 exons. Lineage: Eukaryota; Metazoa; Arthropoda; Insecta; Hymenoptera; Formicidae. The record is from RefSeq and is a predicted model, not a curated record.